UACGUAGGGUGCGAGCGUUAAUCGGAAUUAUUGGGCGUAAAGCGUGCGCAGGCGGCGCCAUAAGACAGCUGUGAAAUCCCCGGGCUUAACCUGGGAACUGCGGUUGUGACUGUGGUGCUAGAGUACGGCAGAGGGAGGUGGAAUUCCUGGUGUAGCAGUGAAAUGCGUAGAGAUCAGGAGGAACACCGAUGGCGAAGGCAGCCUCCUGGGCUGAUACUGACGCUCAUGCACGAAAGCGUGGGGAGCAAACAGGAUUAGAUACCCUGGUAGUCCACGCCCUAAACGAUGCCAACUAGUUGUUCGGGAAGGAGACUUCUUGAGUAACGAAGCUAACGCGUGAAGUUGGCCGCCUGGGGAGUACGGUCGCAAGAUUAAA
RNAcentral lists this ribosomal RNA (376 nucleotides) under uncultured bacterium. Its description in RNAcentral is "bacterial SSU rRNA". It matches the Rfam family "Bacterial small subunit ribosomal RNA", at positions 524 to 898 of the family's 1533-position model. The record is from RNAcentral.